GUGCUCGCUUUGAUAGCACAUAUACUAAAAUUGGUACAAUACAGAGAAGAUUAGCAUGGCCCCUGCACAAGGAUGUCACACAAAUUCAUGAAGUGUUCCAUAUUUUU
Rhinopithecus roxellana (golden snub-nosed monkey) is the source of this 107-nucleotide small nuclear RNA. The record is from Ensembl. Lineage: Eukaryota; Metazoa; Chordata; Mammalia; Primates; Cercopithecidae.